AUCUCUUUCCCUGAACAAAUGUCUUCUUGUUGCAGCGACGAUGCUAUUGCUUCUUCUUCUUCAUCUUCUUCACGAUUCUUCUCUUCUUCUUCUUUAUCGUUUUCACAUGGCUGCUUCUAGUGCCAAAAACAUUGGAGAAAGAUACUAGAGCUCCCAAGGAAGAUUCUUCGAAUGUUCUUUUUUCAUCAAUUCAAUCUUGCCGUCGAGAGAAUUAUGGUCUUCGAGGGUUAGGGUUUUCAAUUCUUAUGAAGACGAGCCGAAAUCAAUCUGUUGAAUUCGAUGAUUUUCUCGGAUGAAUGAAGGUUGUGAUGCUUCCGUCGAUCUUUGGUCGAUUUAUCUUGAGAUUCUUAGCAUAGCAUUCGUUCUAAACAAUGGAUCAUGAUACUCGCAGCAAUAAGCUUCAGAAAUUCUUUGUCGCCAUGGAAACGGCCUUUUAGGGAACAGAUGAAAUUAUCAAUUGCGCCUUGGAGGGUUUGAAGAAAUAAGUCAGGAAAGAACUAUGAUCAGGGCUUUCCCACCUUCUACCGAGGAUGUCGAGACGCCCAGCAGAUUGUCGACAAGAUACAACUGCUUAGAAUCUGCUUGAUGUCUACUUGUUGUUUCAUGAUGAUGGUUAUUUGUUGCUUGCACAGAAGGACCUACUGAAAAUCAACUCUUUUGAAGCUGUUGCACACUCAUUAGAAACCUGAUGCAUCAAAGUCAAAUGACCAUAUUCUGGCAGGAGCAGAUGAGUUCUUGCCUCUCCUCAUGUAUGCUACAAUCAUGACAAAUCCUGCGCACCUUGCAUUCUUUUCUCAAGUUCAUCCAUCCAAUUAUACUGAAGGAAGGCAAAAAUUGUCCCUGAGGAUAAACCUUGUCUCGGACAAGUCAUUUAAGAAGUUGUGCAGCACCGAGUAAGAAGGUAGAAUCCGGUUCAUCUACCAAUCGGUAUCUUUGAGCUUCUUGAUUGCUCAUAACAGAUCUGGAGUACCCCCAUAAUAUGGAGGCAGACGCCAGUGACCUGGUUCUGAAUGUGGAAGAUGCUUAGAGAUUGCUGACUAUACAAGGAAAUGCUGGUGAGGCUUAUGAAUGAGGAGCAAGUAAAAAAGAAGAAGGAAAGGAGAUUUUUCUGAAUCAAGAACGUUAUGGACUAAGGCUAUACAUUAAGGAACUCAAAGAUUAUUGCGUGAGAAUCAAGAACGUACCUCUCUAUAAGCGCAUAUGAGACACCAAAAGGACUGAAUUUUGAGAUUAAGAAACAAGUCUUGAAUGUUGAGGAGAUGUUAUUUAUAUAAAAUGAAAACAAGAAUGUAGUUGCAGAACGGCAAUGGCGUUUAUGUUUUGCUUCUCUCUCUCAAUCUGACUGUCUUGUCAUGCAAUGUACAUGUCCCAACUAACUAUUUCCAUAUAGUAUAGAUAUU
This 1400-nucleotide long non-coding RNA is filed under the name Arabidopsis thaliana (thale cress). RNAcentral's name for it is "potential natural antisense gene, locus overlaps with AT1G33420 and AT1G33430 (AT1G33415)". The record is from RNAcentral. Lineage: Eukaryota; Viridiplantae; Streptophyta; Magnoliopsida; Brassicales; Brassicaceae.